ACCCUCCAGACCCCUACAUCUUAGAUCUUAACAUCGGUCCGAGUGGCUAAAGAAGGGAGGAAAAGUACAACUGAAGUGACUGAGAUUCUUUGGUGACAUACAAGUUCAUUCCUAACACAU
Molecule: small nucleolar RNA, 120 nt
Filed under: Echinops telfairi (small Madagascar hedgehog)
Lineage: Eukaryota; Metazoa; Chordata; Mammalia; Afrosoricida; Tenrecidae
Description: Small nucleolar RNA SNORA61 (ENSETEG00000025323.1)
Source: RNAcentral